This 489-nucleotide ribosomal RNA is filed under the name Escherichia coli. Its description in RNAcentral is "bacterial SSU rRNA". It matches the Rfam family "Bacterial small subunit ribosomal RNA", at positions 42 to 520 of the family's 1533-position model. Lineage: Bacteria; Pseudomonadati; Pseudomonadota; Gammaproteobacteria; Enterobacterales; Enterobacteriaceae. The record is from RNAcentral.
GAAGGCCUAACACAUGCAAGUCGAACGGUAACAGGAAGAAGCUUGCUCUUUCGCUGACGAGUGGCGGACGGGUGAGUAAUGUCUGGGAAACUGCCUGAUGGAGGGGGAUAACUACUGGAAACGGUAGCUAAUACCGCAUAACGUCGCAAGACCAAAGAGGGGGACCUUCGGGCCUCUUGCCAUCGGAUGUGCCCAGAUGGGAUUAGCUAGUAGGUGGGGUAACGGCUCACCUAGGCGACGAUCCCUAGCUGGUCUGAGAGGAUGACCAGCCACACUGGAACUGAGACACGGUCCAGACUCCUACGGGAGGCAGCAGUGGGGAAUAUUGCACAAUGGGCGCAAGCCUGAUGCAGCCAUGCCGCGUGUAUGAAGAAGGCCUUCGGGUUGUAAAGUACUUUCAGCGGGGAGGAAGGGAGUAAAGUUAAUACCUUUGCUCAUUGACGUUACCCGCAGAAGAAGCACCGGCUAACUCCGUGCCAGCAGCCGCGG